UAUCUGGAAGCUUUGCUUUGAAGCACCGGAUUUUUAACCCGGAAAAGGAAUAAUCCCCAGAUUA
RNAcentral lists this transfer RNA (64 nucleotides) under Phascolosoma esculenta. RNAcentral's name for it is "tRNA-Lys". The record is from RNAcentral. Lineage: Eukaryota; Metazoa; Annelida; Sipuncula; Phascolosomatiformes; Phascolosomatidae.